RNAcentral lists this long non-coding RNA (26320 nucleotides) under Medicago truncatula (barrel medic). Its description in RNAcentral is "long non-coding RNA (MTRU_LNC007423)". Lineage: Eukaryota; Viridiplantae; Streptophyta; Magnoliopsida; Fabales; Fabaceae. The record is from RNAcentral.
UCAGUUUGUGGAACAUAUUCUAUCUUAGCACAAAGACCUUGAUAAAAGACGAACGCCUCGUUGUCAUCGGUGUCAAAGGCACAAUCUAUUCCAUUGCUUCCAAAUUUUGUAUUAUCAAGCGAUGGAAACCCGUGGCGAACAAAAACAGGUCCAUGUAAAAUCUUAUCGUUGCUGGUUCCGGGAGCAUAAUCCAAAACCAAGAGCUUAUCAUUGAUGAAAAAGUAUGCUUCAUUUUUCCUAGAUGAACGAAAUACAGCAUUUAUGUAACCAGAUUUCGUCAUCUUAGGUAUAGUAAGGAUAGUGGGCAAGGAGGAAUUUUGUUCUUGAGUUUUUUUACGAUUCAAGGAAGGUUUUGUGAGCAAAUACAGGGAAGGGAAGAAGGAUAUAUAUAGACACACAAUGAUAAAAAUAAAAAAAUAAAAAAAUCCUUAAUUACUUCUUCCAGCAUUUGAUAAGAGGAACAAUAAAAUAUAAUAAAUCAUAUGCCAAAUGCCAAUGCGUUUGCAUAUAUUUAUGUAGUAGCAGUGCUGGCACAUGUGAUGAAAUUAAAUAACGGUCAAAUGCCUAGGUUUGUGGAUAACAUUGUCUUAUUAUUUAGGGUUUGUAUGCUAUAUAUUUUAUAAUGCAUCUAGUUUAAAAUUACAAAACAAAAAAUAUUGUUUAUAAUUCAAAUUGUUACUAGAGGUAGAUGUUGCACAUGGUUAUACCCUGUAUCCCGACACAUGUACUUUUACCCCAACACAAUUUUUUAAAUUCCAAUUUUAUCUUUUUUUUCUAUUUAACCUUUUAAACAUUAAUUUUUCACUUUCACUUUCAUUUCCAAUCUCAAUUGAGUAUGAGUUCACCUCCACAUGAUAUUCUUUCAUGUAUGCAUUUUCGAUAUUUAUCUUUAAUAUAUAAAACAUAUGGUAAAAUUUUCGGAACACUCAUGUGUACGUUUCCGAAAUAAUUGCUGGAUAAUCAACUUACGAUUUUCAAAACUUAUACCGAAAUGCUCUUUCAUUGCUUUCCGAAAUAAUAAACCGGAAAAGUAUACAUAAUAGUGUUCCGGUAAUGUCUUUUUUUUUUUUUUUUUUUUUUUUUAACUAAAACUGAAACCUGCGUUCAAACAUGCACAAAGCACUCCUUUUCUUGUUGAGUUCAUUGAUCUAUAGCAUAUUAUUUGUUUCUUAAAAAAAAAUAAAAAAUAUUUGUUCAAGUUACAACAGACAACAAAUAGCUUCAUUUCAUUGCAAAACUCAGCCUCCACAAAUCACUAGUCAUUAAAAGAAUUCCUCUCAUCAAAUUUUGUUGUACAAGAACUAAUAAUUGAAGUAGCAAUUGGCUCUAAGCUUUUCUUUUUUAAAUCUGCAAAACUUUAUUCCAAUUGGUACCACUUACACAAGAGUGUGUCAUGGCACUAAAGCUACAGUCUCCAAAACAAUUAAAAAGGUAAACAAAAAACUCCCACGAAUUGGAGAAAAGAAAAAGAGAAAUAAUAUUUGUACAACCACUUUGUGACAAUUUUUUGAAAAUUUUCUCUCAUAUACUCACAUUAUACUCUUAUUCUCUCUUUUCUUUUUUCUAUCUCCAUUAUUUUUUACCAAUGAAAAGAGAGAAAAAAGAGAUUGUCACAAAAGUUGUUUCAAAUAGAUGUUCAAAUAUCACUACUCAAAGAAAAAACCAAACCAAGGGGGUCCAAACAAUGAAAGCACCACAAUCCAAUAACACCCUUGCUGACAACAACGAAACCUUAGCAGAAAAUAAAAGAACAGGCGCGGAUGUUUUGCACAUGGUUUACGGAUAUCAACCGGAACGCUUUGUAAACACGAUUCCCAGAUGAUGGCAUUUCACCAAAUCGUCGUUUCCAGAACACGAUUCUUUUAACGAUUCCUAACCCACUAACCUAGAAAACCUUGAAAACCCUAGCAAAACACAAUCAAUGAUUUUGGUAAACAAUUAAGAGAACAAACACAUGAAAGAACACAUAAACAUGAAAUGAACAUAUGAAAGGAGGCUUAUACUGUUUAUUGGAAGCAGAAGCAAAGUAGAAGAAGUUUUUUCCAGAGAAAGGGGUGAACGCACAUGAGGUGUAUGUGGGGGUGAAAAGUGAAAAGGUAAUUGUGUUUUGUUUUAUAUAAAGGAUAAAUUUGGUAGUUUGUGUCAAAUGUUGGGGUGACCCCAUUUUUAAUCAUAUCCAAAAAGAUAUGAAUUGUAUUUCUUCUUUUUAAUAGAUUUCCUUUUUGAGUAAAAAAAAAAAAAAAAGAAGGUAUAGAUGUAGGGGUGUGGGGUAUAACUUCCGAUUUUCAGCUACUUAUGUGUUGAUCUCUUGUAUCCAUAUUAGAUUUCUUUCAUUUUUUAACGUUAUAUUACAAAAAAUCUAAAGAGUAUCUUUAAGAGCCUUAAAUAGUACUCUAUCAAUAUCAAACUAUUAAUCGCUUUAUAAUAUCAAUGAAACAUUAAUGUUAUUUUUUCUGUUAUACUUUUAACUAUUUAUUACUUUUUUUUUUUUUUUUUUAAUUCUUUAAUUUAUCUAUCCAAUACAAAUUAUUAAGGACAAUUUUGUAAAACAAUUCAUAGCAUCUUUUUACCAUACAAAAUUAAUUACAUUUCUUAAUAUGUGUGAAAUGUCCAAAACAUAUAAUAAUUUGGGACGAAAGUAGUAAGUUCUUAUAAAGAUUUAUGCGGUCAAUACAUUGAAAAUUGAGAUGUUUAACUUUUCUAAUGAAUUAUUUCUUAACUGAUUUUUAAGUAUGGCAUGUGAUGAAGAUAAGAUUGAAAUGCAUAAAUUCUCAUUUAAAUAAAUAUCACAUGGAACAAAGAAAAUGUUAUAUCCGACAACUUUAGCUGGCAGCACGCCUAAUUUUAAACAGGGUAUUUUUUAAUUGCAGGAUUAGCAUGAAGAAAUGAGGCUUUAUUUAAACAAACAUGUUUAAAAGCAUGGUGUUUAAAAAAUUAACAAAGUGCUACAUGAUUGCAACUUAAGAUUAAGAUUGGUCACAUGCAAACAUGUGCACUGUAUGUAUUAUAAUUUUGGCUUUAAAAAUGUUUAAGCGUUAAAACGUGUUUUGCACGUUAGUUUAACAUUUUUUUGUCGUGGCUUCAAUUAAACAUUUACCAAAGGUAAUACAUAUUCAUGCGUUCCACGUUUUUUUUUAUUUUUUUUAUGUAGGAUGAAAUUAGAAGAGGGAUCAACCGAGGUUACAUCCCUUCUAAACUCCCACAUUACAGAGUAGCACAUCAUUUUCACACUUAAACACUAAAAACAAACAUCAUCAUAUACAUGCAUAUGAACUCUCCUAACGACCUAUAUGAAUGUGGUACCACAUCUACUUACCAUUUUGCUAGAGUUAUAUUACUGGACUUUUCACCCACAUAGUUGCUAGAGGUAUGUUAUUGGACUUUUCUCCCAUGUUGCUGGACUUUUCUCCCACAUCAUGCAAGACACCAUGCUCUAGACUCUAUAUGAACACAAUGAAAUAUAUUCAACAAGUAUUGGACAUAUACACUUAAACACAUAGUCACAUAACCCACAUAUUAAUGCAAGACUUCCUCUAAAAUGCACGACACUAUUGCAAACACACAAAAUAUUACCACUCUCCUCAUCAUCAUAGAUAAACAUUGUUUCCCCUCUAUUUUAUUUUAUUAUUCGUUUUACGGACAUACUCUAUUCUCUCAUCUAUUCUUAGUCUCAAGAUGUUUUCUUAUUCUUUAUCAUUACAUACAACGUCUCCUCUCUAUAUAACUAAGUUCUUCCUCACCAUUGUUAUUAACUCUUUCAACUAUUAUUUAUAGGUAGAUAAAUUAAAAUACGCCCAAAUAACAGUGCUAAACACCUAUUAACCCUUAAAUAAUUCAGUUUUGUAGUAAAUAAAGAACAAUGUUUCAUGGAUACCCUUUUUCUUGCACCUCUCUUGUACACAUGCCCAUGUGGAUGGCAGUUAUGUAAUAUUGUUAAAAAGUCAGGGGUAAAAAUGAGUUUCACAUGUCCAUGUCUUCUAUCAUUCUCAACUCUCUCUUCUUUCCCUACUUUCCCUCUCGCUGCCGGCAUCACUCUCCAUGCUUACCGGCUUCCCUCGCAGCUCCACCAAAGUGAAUCUAGAAAGCGACGGCGGUGGCGACAUCGUCAGAAACCAAAAACUCAGAUCUAAUGUGUUUUUUUAUGAGACGGCGACGAUGAACCCACCACAGUAACCCCCUGUAACAACCACCAUAGUUUGUGUUUUUUCUUCGGAUCUAAUAUGACGGCGACGACGAAGUUGCAGAUUCACGUUUUUUCUUCAAAUCUAUUUUGUGAAAGGCGGUCGGAGUAGAGAGAUUAGGAGAGAGAAAAGGUAGUCUAAAAGUGAGUUGGUGACGGCGACAAGGCGGAGGGCGGUGGGGUUGGUGGCCGAAGACCGACGAAACCGUGGCCAGAGGCGGUGAGGAGGACGUCAGAAUAGUGCAGGAGGGUGGGAGGAAACAAAUUGGCGGAGGAGAGAGUGUGAAGGAAUGAGAUUUGACUUUCUUUCCUUUUCAUUUUUAAUUUUUAUUCUCAAAUGGAACAUUUAUUAUUUAUUAAUGUCAAAUGUGUGCCACAUAGGGGAUGUAUAGAGGGGUUUGUCAUGUAUGUAUCACCUCUUGUAAAUGACUGGUGCUAGUCACACCCCAAAAAAUAUAAGUUACACCCAAGAAUGACUAAUAUACCCUUUAACUAAAAUAAAAAUUUCAAAUCAACUAAAUUUACAUUAACGUAAAUUGAACAUAAGUAAACUUAAUUUACAUUAACCUAUAUUGAAAGUAAGUAAACUGAAUUUACAUUAACCUAGAUUGAAAAUAAGUAAACUAAAUUUACAUUAACCUAGAUUGAACAUAAGUAAACUGAAUUUACAUUAACCUAGAUUGAACGUAAGUAAACUGAAUUUACAUUAACCUAGAUUGAACAUAAGUAAACUUAAUUUACAUUAACCUAGAUUGAACGUAAGUAAACCUAGAUUGAACGUAAGUAAACUUAAUUUACAUUAACCUAGAUUGAACAUAAGUAAACUUAAUUUACAUUAACCUAGAUUGAACGUAAGUAAACCUAGAUUGAACGUAAGUAAACUUAAUUUACAUUAACCUAGAUUGAACGUAAGUAAACUUAAUUUACACUAACCUCUCACUUAAAAUCAAAUUGAUAGGCAUAUCUCAUACCAAAACAAACAAUAAACAAAUAGAAACUCAUCGAAAAUGAAAUUCAUGAAAUUCACUAACCUUUAUGAAUAUAGUACAGAUCAAUAACAAAGAUGUUAAUUCAGAUAUUGGUUGCACAUCUAUGGUGAUUUGUGGAUGAAAUGGGGUAAGGGUUCAAAAUGAUCAUAAAAGAUGGAGUUUUUAAAAUUUACAUGAAGAGGGCAAUUUUGGUAUUGUAAAAUUUUAAAUAAAUUUGAGUGUAACUUAUUUUUUUUGGGGUGUGACUAGCACCAGUCCUUGUAAAUAAACAAGUACUAACAUUUACCAUAAUUAACCUUUAUUUUUGAAAACAUUUUUGUUUAAAUAACAUAUGAAUACACAAGAGUAAUGCAACAACACUCUUUUUUGAAUGUUCUCUUUAAUAUUAACUCUUUUAUUGGUUUUAAAUCAUUUUGAGUUUAUACUUUUAAAAUUGAACUUACACAAAAUGGUGGCAGAUAUAUUGAUUUUAUUCAAUAAAAAAGUGAGUACAAGUAUUGGAGAGUUUGUGUUGCUCGCAUUCAACCACAAUCCUUGUCAAAAAUCCAUGGAUACACAUAUAGUAUUUGUUGUAUCGUAUGGGAGUAUCGUACACGAAUUUUAAAUUUGGUAACGUGGAUCGCAUGGGUGUUGUUGUCACUAUUGUAGUGGGGAAACGAAGUCAACCUCAUGUUAACACUACCCUCAGUCAGUCCCUGAAGAAGAAGAAACCCUUCCAUGGAUACUCUUCCUCGGCUCAUUUCUGUUUUCUGUCUCUUGCUCGUUUCAUCGAACACUUUGCGUGCGUUUCAACAAACCGUUUCCAUUGAUACUAUCACUGUUGUUAAUGUCUUUCCUCAUGAUCCUCAAGCUUUCACUCAGGUCAACUUCAGUUUUUUCUUUCUAUUUUUUUAUUUUAUGUAUUUGACUUUUUUUUUAAUAGUUCAAGUUGUUUGAAUAUUUUUGAUCAAAAUUGCUUGAGUGUGUAGUAACUGCCAUUAAUCUAUUUCUAUAGUAGAAGAUUAACAACAACAACAACCAAGCCUUUUCCCACUAAGGGCUUAUUUUUUAGCUUAUGAAAAGUAGCUUAUGCAAAUAAAUAGGCUUUUCCCACUCAAGUUCUGGAAACAGCGUCUUGUGUAAAACAAGGUAAGGCUGCGUACAAUACACCAAAUGGUGGGACCCCUUUCUCGGACCCUGCAUAUGCGGGAGCUCUAGUGCACUGAGUUGCCCUUUUAUAAGUUUAUACUAACGACAAUUAUAUCUUCCUAAGUCGUUUUUUUUAUAAACUACCUCGACAAGCUUUUGAAUAAUACAUAAAAACUUAUUUAUUUGCAUAUGCUGUUUUGUAUAAGCUCAAAAGUAAGUUAAGCCAAAUGGACCUUGAGUGGGGUCAACUAGAUUGAUUAAAUUACGCUAUAAUGUUCUAUUAUAAACCAUAUUUCAGUAAUGGUAAAAAAUUAAAUUACAUUUUAUUUUUGUAUAAGCUAUAAUCUGUUUUCAUAAGUUUUAUUGGAUAACUUAUGAGAAUAAACUGAAAGCAGCUUUCGAAGAAUGUCAUAAGUUCUCCCAAACAGUCUCACAAAACAUAUGCCAGUAGGUACGCUCAAAUAAGCCAAUCAAAGCUGGCCCUUAAUAAAUUUGAUAAUUGAUUCUAUUGGAAAACCUCGAAAUAUAAGCUUUUGGGUAGACGUGAGUUUGGGGUUAGAAUCAAUUUAGGAAGGGAAGUCAAACAUAACUAAUUUGUGGUCAAACCUAACCAACCCAAAUGGAUUGUGAGAUGUGUGACUGUGGAACCAAACAUAGACUAGUUUUAUAUAAUUAUUUAUUUACCUAAUUUUUUUGGUGUUUAUAUUAAAUUUUUAGAAGUAAGAGAUGUACACUAGAGUUAGUUAAGAAUUUGGAUGCAAUGCUAAGUUUUCUUUAUUGUUAAUGAUGAUUAUAGUUCAAGCCCUCUAAUGCUAUACUAGACUAUGGUUCUAUUCAAUUUCCAUACGUGGUGAGGAGUACUGCAUAAAGCAGUUGAAUUAGAAUUAUUGAAGUCAGAAUGUGAGUCAUCCAAUCUUAAUCCAAAGGUUUUGAUUUGCUUAUGUAAAGGUCCAACCAUUGAAUCCUGCGGUCACUGCAUUCAACGGAUUUAAGCCAUUAGAUAGAGAUUAGACGACUCACAUUGUAACAUUAGAAAAUAAGUAAUUUAAAACAUGUGAAAGGGAGGGGUCUUGCAUUGUAUUUUCAUAUAUUAUUUGAACAAAACCCGAAAUUGUGAAAAUUUGGCUGUGAACACCUUAUUUCCUGAAAAUGUUAAUAGUUAAUACAUCAUGUAGUUCUAGUGAAUCCCAAAUGUUAAGUCGCUAAUUUUUAGGCAACAUACACCUUAGUCUAUAAGAAAGACUAAUAUAGAUGGUAUUUGUUGUUUGACUAAGGUCGGGGCUAUUUAAAUUCUUAUGACCUAUACACGUUGAGCAGAGGAGAAAACAUAAGAAAGUGCAAGUCAUUUAAAGAGAAAAUGUUCUCUCAGACUGAAUCUAUUUCUCAUGAAAUGAAUCCAAAAUUGCUUUAAUCUAUUUAUAGGAAUGUAGCUCAUGUAACUGAAUCUAUUUAUUGACUAGAACUAACUAUUGUUGGACGCCACAACAGUACACUUUGACACAUUGAAGGGCCACUUGUAAAAUUUCAGUGAUGUACAUGGCAACUUGCUUGGAUGCCCCAGCUAACAUAAGUAGUACAUAAUCUAUUUGAUUAUUGCAUAUAUUGAGUUUUAUGCCAAGAAGAUAUAUUUUCAAACAAUUUUUGAAGUUUUUAGUUAAUGCUUCUCUCUGAUUGUUUGAUUUCAGGGUCUUCUUUAUGCUGGAAAUGACAGCUUAUUUGAGUCAACUGGUGAUUAUGGGAAGGUAAUGUUAUUCAUUUUCUUUUGUUCUGUUGCUUUUUUAUUAGCUUUUUUUCUUUUUCAUUACUACAGCUGUUGUGGAUGGAAAAUUGUGUAUUCUUGAAUUUGAAAGUAGUCAGUUGACAUCGGUCGCCUCAAUUUGUUUAUUUUGUUUAAAGAACGAUUAUAAUAUUUUGUUGAGCUUUAACCUUUGUAUGUUUUUAAACUUAAAGAUUGUUAUCUUUUGACCUGGUGGUCAUGGGUUACACUCACAGAAGAAACAACUUUGCUGAUGGGAUUGGGCUCAGCAAAGACCAGAGCUUAGAAUGGUAGGAGCCUUUUUCAUAGGGCUGCUAAAAUGAUUGUAGCAUUAGUUGGUAUCUAUGAAGUGCCAUCAAGGACACGGAUGCGAGACAACACAGAUAAUGUGCUUUGGCUUAUGUUUGAGUAUCUUAGUUUAUCUUGUUGGAUCGGUUUGUAAUCCAAGAGUAUUUUAGAUUACCCUUUAAGAUUAGUUUCUCCUAAUAGAAACAAACCAGUGUUGUCAAAUAUCGGUUAUGGUGGAUAUCGGUGGCAGGCAGGUUUUUUUAUUUUCCACUAUGGCUAUGGCGGCGCCUUUUGUCGGCCGGUAUUGUCAGAUUUUUGACUCUCUGCCAUGGUCUGCCAUUGAUAUAUAAUAAAGCAAAAUCUGCCAUUGACAAUACUGAGACAAACAAGUUUUUUCAAUAUAAAUUCUUUUGAAAAUCAAAAGCUUCAUCUAUGGUUUGAUCUGUUGUCCUGAUUAACAGCAAUGACUUGCUACUAUAUGUCCAAUGUGCUGUUCUAGUUUGGAAACUGGAACUCAUCUCCUUCUACACUGUUCUGCAGUGAAUUAUCGAUGGAAUGAGCCAUUUGGUAUUUUGGAGAGUAUUGGCAUUAGUUUCUUCUCGUUAUGUUAGAUGGUUUGCCUUUGAGAAAAUGCUAUCUGCCAAGUCUUUGCUACAAUCUAGUGUUUCUGGCUGCAAAGAAAUGCAAGACUAUUCAAUGGCUCUCUUUGAAGCCUAUAUUUUGUAUGCGAUAGGGUUGCUUUUUAACUUCUUACUAGAGCUGUGCUUGUGGUUUUUUUAAAGGCGUGUCUCCUACACAUGAUUUUUGUUUUUUUGACAUGCUUUUGUUACAUGAUUCAAUCUCUUACAUUUUAGUUGUUUAUGCUGUCUUCUUGUGUAGUCUUAUUUUCUAUCUUUGCUUUCGUCCGUUUGUCCUUUAUAAAAUAUCUUCCUAUGUAAAAAAUUAAUACUUCUAAAAAUGGGCAGCCUGAUGCAUUAAAGCUCCCGCAUACGCAGGGUCUGGGAAGGGGUCCCACCAUUUUGGUAUAUUGUAUGCAUCCUUACCCUUGGCGCAAUUGGUAAAGUUGUUGUCAUGUGACUAGAAGGUCACGGGUUCAAGUGCUGGAAACAACCUCUUGUGUAAAAAAUAGGGUAAGGUUGCGUACAAUACACCAAAUGGUGGGACCCCUUCCCGGACCCUGCGUAUGCGGGAGCUUUAGUGCACCGGGUUGCCCUUUUUUUAUGCAUCCUUACCCUGUUUUUUUCCCAGGACUUGAACUCGUGACCUUUCAGUCACCUGACAACAACUUUACUAUUGCGCCAAGGCUCUCCCUUUAAAAAAUUAAUACUUCUGUGGCACAAUAAUCUUUUCAGCUGUUGGUUAAAAACAUUGCAUUCCGAUGGGGUUUCUUUCCAUAUAAUUAACGAGGGCCAGUUAUUGUUAAUUGUGCUUAGAUUUACAUUUGAGCUGGGCAAAAUCCCUUUCAAUUCUCGAAAGCUUUCUCUGGCCCGAUGUUUUUUUACUUGAAUGCGUGAAAUACAAUUUAAGCCGAAUUGGUAACUUUACUCACUUUGUUUUGGGAAUCUUCUUCAUGAUUAAGGCAUUAAUUUGUUAUUCAUUCUGAUAGUUUGCAUUCAGUACGCUCGCUGCACUGCUUAUUCAUCAGUCAUUUAAGACAAAUAUGUUCAAAUGGUAAGAUGAAUAUGAAUACGACCACUACCGGUGCUAUCUCUUAGACAGAGUCACCAAGCUUUUGUCUAAUUAUAAAAUACUGUUAAGCAUGAUUAGGUUUGUUUUCUAAUUAUAUUCUUAUCAUUGUUUUCUUAGACAUGGAAUUAAUGUUUUUAUAUAUUUUUUUGAAGUAUUAAUGUUGUUUUUAUGUUUAGUAUUUGUUUUACAUUUUUAUCAUUUGUUUUUUUCAGUCCUCUGUCCGUAAAGUAGCUCUUCAUACUGGGAAGGUACUAACUCCUACUUCUUGAACUCUUCCAUGUACUUUUUUGAGUUCUUUGUUCAUUAUUGCUUUUUGAGAGUCCAACACCAGAUGAGAUAUGACCUGAAAAUAGAUUUAUAAGUGGGAAUCAUCUCUCACUUUACAAACCGGUUUUACAAGGUUGAAUUAAGCUCAGCCUGAAUUCUAAGAUGGUAUCAUUGUCUAUCCAAGAUUCGUUAAGCUAACCUCAAUUACGCCAAGUGUUGGGUCUUAAGGGUGUGUGUUGAGCAUCCCACGUAUCAGAUACAAUCAUACAACCUAAAAAUAAGUUCUCAAGUAGGAGGUAUUCCACACUUUACAAUCCUGUUUUGUAAAGUUGAAUUAUGAUACAUUUAUAUGAAAGAGUUUUCAGUUAUUAUACAUUUCUCCAAAUAAUUUUUUCUAUCCAUAUUCCCCCUGAAUUACAAUAAAGACUUUAUGGUGAUAACUGUUCAAAGGGCAAUUGGAAGAUGUAAAUCUUCAGAGUGUAGCGGUGAUAUUUCUCUGGAAUUUGGUUUCUUAUGUUUUAUUGGGCUGGAUUUUGGUUCCCUUUGUAAGAUUGAUUAAGAUUCUGGAUCCUAUGCAUCUGAAAAUUCAGAAAUUGAAUCACUAGAAUGUGAAGGGUUGUUAGUGGAAGUUACCCCAGUUAAUGUAGGAUCAAACCCAUCUUUAGAAGUUAGGGUAAGGGAAAUAAGUCUCUUCAAGCUCCUAACCUUACUCUCGACUAGAAGUUAGCGGCUGAAAUUAGUGGUGACAUUUUGAGAUUGAUUGAUUCUGAAAAAGAUGCAAAUGUUGUAGCUUGUGUAAGACAUGUGAAAAAUUUAGUAUAUUUAAGGAAAAAAGAUCAUUUCUGAAGACCGUUCAUGAAUUUACACAUAUCUACACAUAUUAUUUUAUUUUAUAGCUGUUUUUUGUAAGAGGAUUUUAUAGCAUUAAAAAGACCGUUCAUGAAUUUACAAAUAUCAUUUUAUUUUAUAGCUGAUUUUUUUUAGAGGAUUUUAUAGCAUUAUCAAUGUUGAGUACUUCAUUAAAAGUAAUCUGAGCUCAAGUCAUACAUAAUAAUGAUGAUGGUAAUUAUUUCUGUAAAAGAAAAUGAAGAUGAUAAUUAUGUAUGUUUUGUUUUUGAGUGAAAAAAGUCAUACAUAAUUAUCAUCACCAUUCACCAUAACAAUUUAAAAUAAAAAUAAAAAAUCCCUUUAAAAUACUGUGAUGAACAGUAUCUCGGGCAUCUCCUCCAACAGUUUCCUCUGGUUACGGCAUUCAGGGUUGCAAAAUGCCAUCUCACCCCCUGGACAUGUUAAAGAGGAUGGACAUGUUUUCCUCAUCUUACUAGUUAUCCUUUUGAGAACCUUUUGAGUAUCUGUUUUUACUGCAAGAAAAAUCUUGAGCAGAUAAAGAUAUCUAGAUGUACUGAGAUGAGAUGGCAUUUUGCAGCCCUAACUGCAAAAACUGAAAGCCAAGACUGGGAUAGCUGCGCAAAAAAUUGAGAGGAAUAGAAAGAAAGGUUGCGAUAUUGUUGUCCACGGUAAUUUGAAGGGGUUUAUUUUAAUUUUUUUUUUUGGGUGAUGAUAACUAUGUAUGACUUUUUCUUUACUAAAAAAAAUACAUAAUUAUCAUUUCCAUUUUAUUUGGUAAAAAUGCUCAUCUUAAUCAUGUAUGAUUUGAACUCACGUUAUUUUUGAUAAAGUACUCCACAUAAUAAUGCUACAAAAAAAGGACGUGUGUCAGUUCAGAAAUUGUAUUUUUUCUUGUAAAUACUAUAUACUUCCCAUGUCUUACAUCAACUCCGACAUUUCCUUCUUUUUCAAGAUCAACUGUGGUGUCACCAUUGUUACAUCUAGUUUCACCCUCGACUUCUGGUCUGAGAGUAAAGUCGAGAAGUAGAAGAGACUCAUCUUCCUUACAUAUAUUCAUACCCUUAAGAUGAGUUUGAGAGCAAAAAAGAAAGUGUGGUAUUCUUAUUUUGUUUUGAAGUAUAGUUCAAGGCAAUGUCACAGGGGAUAUGUAAACUAUUAUGACAAAAAGCAUCUUGGAAGACUCGAGGAUAAAGAGUGAUGAACAAAUGAGACUCUAUUAUGAUAAUAAAUCUGCUAUUAGCGUAACUCAUAAUCCAGGGCAACAUGAUAUAGCUAAACAUGUUGAAGUUGAUAAGAUGAAUUAAAAAAAUUAAAAAUAAAAAUAGGUUAUUAAUGAGGAAAUCUUAGGUGGGCGGUAAAAUUUCCUUCAAUAAGAUAGAAACUUUAAGUAAUAAGAUCAGAUAAGAUAUACAAGGAUAUUUUAGUAAUUUACUUAAUUUAUUAUCGGGUAUGAGUACCCGUGGGUAUGGUUAUAAUCAAAUCCGUGUCCGUAUCCAUAUAAAAAUGGGUAGUCAAAUACUCAUUUAUUAUACUCGUGGAUUCCCGUUUACGUACCCACCCUAUGCCCAUGACGGAUUUUACCCACGGGUACCCGUGGGCAUGGGUAUUUUUGCCACCCCCCACUUGGUUAUCUGUGAUGAGCAGUUGGACAUUUCAAUGAGGGUGUAUAUAUAUAUAUAUAUAUAUUAGUUAGGGAGUAUCUCAUAAGUUGUGUGCAUGUUGCAUUUGAUUGGGUUUGUAAUUUGGACACCGAAACGUUAAAGUUUCAUAUAUUUAUUCUUUGUGCAAUGUGCAGGUUGAGAAACUUCAGAAGAUGGAUGAUUCGUUAUUUGGCGAAGGUUUAACUCUCCACGGUGACAGGUGUGUAAAGAAAUUAUGUUGCAUUUUUUUAAUUUAUUUUGAUAAAUAAACUUUGACAAAGGUUCUAUUCUAUGAUGCACUGACACUGAUACAGCCAUUAGAUACGAUAUUGACACAUCGUCACUCAUAAUAAUUUGAUUGAGAUACUAAAUUAAUUAGAUGCAGUCACUUGUGUUGGUGACUUUGAAGCACAUACACAAACACGAAAGAGAUAGAAACACUGAACAUCGACACUGAUAAUAAUUUGAAAAUGACAUAAUUGAAUGCUCACAUGUGUCGGUGUCAGAUACUAACACGUGUCGGAGUUGGACACCGGACACACCUUUGAUCAGAAGUGUCGGUGCUACUUAGGUUCUAUUGUAGAGAGAUCAAAAGUAAAGUAAAUUUUAUAUUUUAAUAUUGUUUAUCUGGAAGACACAACUGUCUUCAAUAGUCAGACAUUUUCGUUAAAAUUGAUAUUUUCGAAGUCAGAGUAGAUGUUGGUGAAAUAAAGGGCUAAAUGAUAAUUUGUUGUUUGCUGGCAACUAAAUCAAAAGCUGAUGGCAAGCCCAUUAGAACUGAGCUUUGCAGGAGUAAAAUAGACUGCAGCUAUGAUGAGCUUCUUUUUUGGGUGACCUAUGCUGUGAUUUGUCAUUGUUGGUAUACAAUAAUAAUUUAGUAAUUAACUCUUAGUUUUAGGUCAUAUUUAUGUCCAAUAACUAUAGACCAUGACCUGAGUGGCCCAAUAGUAGGAUGGCUCUUGGAUAGGUUCUAAUGCCAUCUUAAAUAGGAGUGCAUGAGCAACUUGCAUACUAUUUUUCUUUUGUGGGAAUCUCAACACUCCCCCUCCGCCAAGGACUGGAUUCCUAGACCGUGACCUGAGUGGCCCAAUAGUGGGACGGCUCUUGGAUAGGUUCUAAUACCAUCUUAAAUAGGAGUACCUGAGAAACUUCAAUAUUAUUAUUUUUCUAACACCCCCCCUCCACCAAGGACUGGACUUCUAGACUGUGACCUGAGUGGCCCAAUAGUUGGACGGCUGUUGCAUAGGUCCUAAUACCAUCUUAAAUAGGAGUGCCCGAGCAACCUCAAUAUUAUUUUUCUACAUUAAAAUUAUUUUAAUUGUCUUUUAGUUCUUUUUGGUAAAAAAGUUAUUCGUACUAAAAUUUAAAAUAUUUACCAAUUUUGAUUGCUAAACAUGAAAACUGUCGGAUGACCCUGAUUUUUUAUUUUUUAUUUUUUUUGUCAUAUCAUUAUUUAAUAUUUAUUUAUUUCUGGAUGCUGUCAGUAUGUUUACUUUACCUUGAUCCCAUUUUAAUGUACUUUUGUUUUGGACAAACGACAUUUGUUAAUAAUUAUUAAUCAUCAAGUUAUUUCAACUAUUUUUGUUGUUUAAAAUUAUCCUAAUGCCAUUAUCUGGUGCUCUUUUUGUAGGCUGAUUCAAGUAGCUUGGUUGCAGACAAAUGGCUUCAUCUAUGACCCGAAAAAUUUAAGCGAAGUUUGUUGCUUUAGCUACCUACUCGUGCAAUAAUUUGUCUCUGUCAUGGUUUGAGAAACUCUUGAAAUUUUGAUUUAAUGAGACUACUAAGAAAAGUAGCAUCAUUGUGAAAUUAUUGAUUAUAUGCAAUCUGUCCUUACUUUUCUGCAUGAUUAAAUCAUACUUCAAGUUUAUUCUGUGUAAUCAUGCAUGUUUUGAAUUUAUUUUUCACUUUUAUUAAUACAUAAACUACUUUGCUUCUUUGGUAGCUUCAGUUUGAGUGUUCUUAACAUCAUGCUUGAGGUUGAAAGUUUGAUUGACAUGUAAACUGUAGUAUAAGCGUUUUCAGAUAACUGUUAUAUCUGAUUCAAACUCUUCCCUGGCAGAAAAUGUAGAUCUUGUAAUAUUGAUUUCAUUAAAACAAAUUGAAUAUUUAUACAAGCUGGAUAGGUGUAAUAUAUACUCAAGUUGUUACCUGUGGUGCAGUUUACAUGCAAGGAUUUUGGUGAUACCAAACUUGUUUUUGUUUGAUUGUUUUUCCAGAGAUUCUCUUCUGUACAGGGGUGAUUGCCUCACAAUGCCUAGUAAUACUGCGAGCCAGAUCUUAACUGCUUACUUUGACAAUUUCUGUAGAUUGGGACAUUUAAUCAUGACAUGAAAGAUGGUUGGGGUCUCGCAACUGAUGGAAAAGUCUUGUUUGGAAGUGAUGGCAGUUCGUCAUUGUAUAAAAUUGAUCCUCAAACAUUUAAAAGUCAGUCUAACGAAUUAAAUUUUAUUUCUUUCGUUUUACUAUUUUAUAAGCAGAAUCCCUUUAUCAAACCCGUUUGUUUCUAGCUUUUUAACUUGACAAUACUUUGUUUUGUGUUUCUGUGCUUGCCUUGCAUUUUCAUGGAACUUACAUUUCUUUCUUCAAUGAUGUAGCUGUAUCAAAACAAGUUGUCUACUAUAAGGGUCAUCAAGUACACUUUCUCAAUGAACUGGAAUAUAUAAAUGGUGAAGUUUGGGCAAAUGUUAUUCCGGUAUGUCUGAUGUUAAAGCAAAUAUAUCUCUUUCCUUAAAAAUGUGAAGAAAAAUGUUUGCCAUGUAUGGAUGAUUUAUGCGGCCUAAGAUUCUCUAUUAAUCUGGAUUUUGUUUGAAUUUGAUUUUUCUUGUGUAGACGGACUGUAUUGCGAGAAUCUCUCCUAAUGAUGGUCUUGUCGUUGGAUGGAUUCUUCUCCAAAGUUUAUGGUGUGACAUCUGUUUUCCUUUUCAUUUAAAUAUGUACUAAAAUAAAUGCUUGUGCAUAUGUAUGGUUUGACAAAACGAAGUGAAUCCUGAAUUUGGUUCUUCAGUAGAUUAACAACAUUAAAUUGGUCCUCAAUGAUUUUAAAUCACAUGCAAGACAUUGUUCCUAUGUGUUAGAAGGUGAAAACCUUCAUUGAUGAAGAUUGAAACAGAAAACGGUUUGAGAGAGGAGAGGAGAGAAGAGAGAGAAGAGAUAAAUUGUGUUUGUUAUUAUUAAUUGAAUCUCCUGAGAUUAUACAUAUUUAUAGAUGCAUAAUAGAUGCAUAGGAUAGAUAUGUGACAGGUGUCACAAUCUAAUAGGCAAUAUAAACUUUAGUUACUAAACAUUACAAGCUUAUUCUAUUCUCCUAACAUUCCCCCCUCAAACUGAGGGUGUUGUCAAACACUCUAAGUUUGUCUCUGAGAUAGGUAAACCUUGUUGUAGAUAGAGGCUUUGUCAAAAUGUCUGGCCAUUGAUCUUGGGAAGGGACAUGAGAAACCAUAAGAGUCUUGCUGAGGACUCUUUCUCUGACAAACAAAAUGUCUAAUUCCAUGUGCUUGGUCCUGGAGUGAAGAACAGGAUUGUGAGCAAGUGAGACAGUACUCAAAUUAUCACAAUAAAUCUGAGGAACCUUGCUUGGGAUCUGAAGCUCUUGAAGAAGAGAUUGUAUCCAAAGAAUCUCUGCAGCUGCCUGAGUCAGACUUCUGUAUUCUGCCUCAACACUUGACCUGACAACAAGGAUUUGUUUCUUAGCCCACCAUGAAACAAGAUUAGGUCCCAGAUAUAUACAAGCACCUGAAGUGCUUCUUCUAUCAUCUGGAUCAGAGGCCCAAUCUGCAUCACAAAAUUCGGUGAUAGCAAUAGGUUCAGUGGGAACAACAACUUUGAUAACCAAGCCAUGAUUUAUGGUUCCUUUGAGAUACCUCAGAAUCCUUUUGGCUGCCUUCCAAUGCUCUUCUAAGGGAUCCGAGAGGAACUGGGACCUUGUUUACAGAAUAGGAAAUCUUUGGCCUUGUUAUAGUAGCAUACUGAAGUGCUCCAACAAUUGACCUGAAGAAGGUAGCAUCUUGUACUUGACUGGAACCAUACUUGGAGAGUUUAGUGCUAGAUUCCAUAGUAGAUGCCAUGCUGUUUGCAUUUUCCAUAUUUGCUUUUGCUAAGAGAUCAGUGAUAUAUUUUGUUUGAGAGAGAUGAAGUGAUCCAUUGGAAGAAUGGUGAACUUCUAUCCCAAGAAAAUAAUCAAGUGUCCCCAGAUCCUUGAGGGAAAAUUCUGCAUUAAGUUGUGACACUAGAUUCUGUAUGACAUCCUUAGAAUUUCCAGUGAUGAUUAUAUCAUCAACAUCUACCAACAUGUAGAUGCAGUAGUUCUUGGUGUGAAGUAUGAAUAGGGAUGGAUCACAUUUACUUGACUUAAAACCAAAUUUUAGCACAACAACCUUUAACCUUUCAAACCAUGCUCUAGGAGCCUGUUUGAGUCCAUAUAAGGCCUUGUGCAGCUUGCAGACAAGAUUUUUAUUAGAGGACUCAAAACCUGGAGGCUGGUUCAUGUAAACCUCUUCAGUAAGAAAAUUAUUGAGUAAAACAUUGUUAAUAUCCAAUUGUAGAAUAGCCCACUGCUUUGUGACUGCAAGAGUGAGGAUAAUUCUCACUGUUACUGGUUUUACAAUUGGUGAGAAUGUUUCAUAGUAAUCAAAACCAUGCUGCUGAUGAAAACCUUUGGCAACUAAACGUGCUUUGUACUUGUUGAUACUGCCAUCAGGGUUUUCUUUGAUCCUGAACACCACUUACAACCUAUUGCUUGUCUGUUAGGAGGUAAGGAAACCAGAGACCAUGUAUUAUUAUUUAACAAUGCAUUUUACUCAGUUUGCGUAGCAAGAUGCCAGUUGUGGUCCAAUAAGGCUUGUUUAUGACUAGUAGGUUCAAGGCGAGUAAAAAGAAGAGUAGGGUUCGGUCUAGGCUGAACAAUGCCAAGCUUUCCUCUAGUAGCCAUGUAAUGAGUGUUGAGGGGGAUAAAUUCUGUGUGGUUUGGGUGGUGGGGUGAUAGGUGUAUUUGUGGAGGAGCUAGAUGGUGUGUUGGAAGGAGAAGGUGAUGGAGAUAGUAUGUUAAUGGGUGUAGGAUUGAAAACAUGGUCAGGACUGUAAUACUGAUAAGAGUCGGUAUGAGACAUAAGUGUCAAAGUGGGAGAUUGCUGGUUUUGAGUAGCAGAAGUUUGACCAUCAGGAGACAAAGGUGAAUUUAUAAUAGGAGGUGAAAUAGAGUUAUGAGAGGAAUAAGGAGUGGUCUGAGGAGUGGAGUUUGUAGUAGGUGAGGAUGAUGUAAUAGAAAUAGGAAGAUGUGUAGAAAGAAAAGAUGAUAGAGUAGGCUCAUCAGGGACAAUAUUAUAGUUUGAAGAGGAAGGGAAAAGUUCAGGAUAAGGAAACCUGACUUCAUUGAACACCACAUCCUUUGAAAUAAAGAUUUUGCCUGAAGAGUCAAGGCACUUAUAUCCCUUAUGGGAAGGAGAAUAGCCCAGAAAUAUACACUCUUUCGAGUGAAAAUAAACUUUUUGACUAUUGUAAGGUCUUAAGAAAGGAAAACAGGCACAACCAAAGCUUUUAAGGAACUUGUAAUCAGGAAAUUGAAAGAUUAGGAGUAAGAAGGGUGACUGAUUAUUUGAGGUAGGAGAUGCUAAUCUGUUAAUGAGGUAAUAGCUGUCAGGAAAGCAUGGUCCCAAAAUUUGAGGGGCAUUUUGGCUUGUGCUAAGAGAGUUAAACCAGUUUCAACAAUAUGCCUGUGUUUUCUCUCAACUGAUCCAUUUUAAUGGUGGGUAUGGGGGCAUGUAAAUCUAUGUGUGGUGCCUUGUUCAGUAAGAUAUUUGGUAAAGGGACGAAGUUCUCCCCCUCCAUCAGUUUGAACAGCCUUUAGUUUGAACUUCAACCGUAACUCUACCAUAGAUUUAAAAUUAUGGAAGGUGGUGAGAGUAUCAGACUUCAAUUUUAAGGGAUAUAUCCAAGUAUAUCUAGAAUAAGCAUCAACACAGAUGAGAAAAUAAGUAUAUCCACGGGAUGACUCAACAGGUGAAGCCCCCCAAAGAUCACAAAAUAUGAGUUCAAGAGGUGGAGUGUAUGAUGCAGUGGAUGCAAGGGAGGGGAGUCUAUACACUUUACCAAGACAGCAUGCAGAACAAAAGCCUGACAAAUUUUUAUUAGGUAAAUUCACGUGACAAAGUUUUGUUGCAGCUUUAAAAACCUCAUGAUAAGGGUGACCAAGUCUGCAGUGCCAAAUAAUAUAUAAAGAGGGAAAAGACUGAGCAGUAUUAACAUUGUUACACUGAAAUUGUAAAUUAGAAUUUGGAACACAGGGACUAGUAUGGCCAGUGCUACUAAAGCUUAUAACAUGAAGAAUUUCUUAUGUCUAAGCUAGAACUUGACUCCAAAGAGGAACUAGCUUUGAUAGAUCUAUUGCAGAGAAGAUUGACACUUGAGUUUGUAGUGGUAGGCUUGGACAAAGGUGCUUGUUCAAACUGGUACAAACCAUCCUUUCCAAGAGACCCUUGCAAAAGAAUUUUAUUAGAAACCUGAGAUUUGACAAAACACAUAUCAGGAUGAAACUCAAAGAAAACAUUGUUAUCCCUAGCAAAUUGGCUAACACUGACAAGACUUUUGGUUAUUGAGGGCACAAGAAGAAGAUUUUUAAGCUUAAGAGUGGUUUGUGGUUCAAAAGGAGAGGUGAAGUGCAUAGAUCCAAUAGAGGUGAUAGACAAACCUUGGCCAUUUCCAAUGUUGACCUGAUCUGUUCCAGAAAGAGACAGAGUCCAUCAAAUUUGAAGCAUCAGGAGUAACAUGAUUGGUAGCUCCAGAAUCAGGGUACCAGACAUUGGAGAAAGUGCUAUUGGUAUCAAUACCAGUGAGAUAGGCUUGAGGAGCUUGUGGCCUCUGAUUUCCAGGUACAGAGGGAUACUGAGCUCUGUAGGGGCACGCUGCAUUCCUUGCAUCCAAAUAUUGGGAGGUGGUCCAAGAAUACCACUAGAAGCACUAUAAACACCAGAAACACCAUAACCUUCAUAGGAAGGUGGAACAGAGAGGCGAUGGUAACAAAAUGAAGCAUCAUGCCCUGUCUUGUAGCAUAUCUGACAUUGAAUAUAAGCACGUCCACUGCCACGGCCACCAUGGCCUCUGAAACGGCCACCACGAGGUCCUCUGCCUCUGAAAUAGCCACCUCUACAUCCAAAAUUACCAUACUGAGCGUUACCUUGAGGAUUACCAUUAGAAUUCACACCAGGAAAGUAAGGAUACUGAGUUUGAGAAGGCUGAGUCUGGCUUACAGCACUUGGAUUUUGAGUGAGAUUUACAGAAGCAGAGUCAACAAUUAACGCUUUCUUGAAUUUUUCAUUUGCGCUUCUUGAGUAAGAAGUUGUGACUCAAGUUCAUGCAGAGAGAUAAUAUCAGAUCUGCUCUUAACACUUGCAACAAUAGGAUUGAACUCCUCUGGAAGUGCUUCAAGGACAAUCUCUAUGAGAUCACGCUGCGGAACAGGAUCUCCUAUUGACAUCAAAGACUCAGAAAUAGACCAAAUUCGCACAAAAAAUUCAGCAAUUGUACGCGUUCCUUUGGUAAUAGCUCGUAACUCCGAACGCAAUUGACGCGAACGAGUUUUCAUUUGUGUAAAGCAGUAAGAGUGAAUCUCAUCCCAAACCUGCCACGAAUGACGGAGAAGGAUGAAACACGAAAGCGGAGACGAUGAAUUGUGGAUAGAAUCCAUGUGCAAAGUAGAGAAUCUUGUUCUUCCUAUUCGGUAUACGGCGAAUUCUCUUUGCCUGCUUCGCGAUCCGCGUCGGAGAGAAAUACUGGAGGAAUUUGAGGCGAAACGACGAGUUUCACCAUUUUUCGUACCGUGAAGAACUCCUUCUACUUGCUGCUUCCAUUGCAAGUAGUUUGUAUCAUUAAGUUUCAGAGAAACUACUUGUUUGAAGGUUUUUGAUGCCGCCACAGUAAAGCGUUGUGCAUCAGAAGCAGAAGAAGACGGUUCAGGUGUGGACGCCAUGGUUCUGGAUCAAGAAGCUCUAAAUACCAUGUUAGAAGGUGAAAACCUUCAUUGAUGAAGACUGAAACAGAAAAUGGUUAGAGGAGAGAGAAGAGAGAGAAGAGAGAUAAACUGUGUUUGUUAUUAUUGAUUGAAUCUCUGAGAUUACACAUAUUUAUAGAUGCAUAUUUGAUGCAUAGGAUAUGUGACAGGUGUCACAAUCUAAUAGGCAAUAUAAGCUUUAGUUACUAAACAUUACAAGCUUAUUCUAUUCUCCCAACACUAUGAAACAUUUUUUGAUGAUUUUGAUGCCAAAAUUUUAUCAUUGGAGGGAUUACCAUACUGAUGCCAAUACUUUGUUUAGUUUAUCUUCCUUUACCUGUUGCUUACAGUUAUGUUUAAUCUUUUCUAUGCAGGAAAGAAUUAAUCGAAGCUGGGAAUACUGUAAGGAAUCUGAGCCUUUUGAUAUCUACAAAUAAUACUUGGUCUUAUUGUGUAUAGGUUAUAUUUUAUAAUGCAAUGAGUUUAAAAUAGGAUAACAAUAAUAAAACAAGCUUCUUUAAAUAAAGAAUUAUCUUAUAUAUUCCUGUUUCCAGAUCAAAAUUGUUAUUUGAGGUAGCUGCUGCACAUGAUUUGUAUUAGAAUAUGAAUAAUCAACUAUAGUUAGUUAGUAGGUAAACUAGAGUUAGUAGCUUGGUUAGAAGUUAGUUAGAGUUAGUUACUCAAACUAAUCUCUAUAUAUAGGAACACUAUUGUACUCAUUCAUCAUCUUUUAUCAAUCUAUUCAUUCUAUAAUGAGUUUCUAUGAGUAUCUCCCACAUGAGUACUCUUAUGCUUGCUUUCUUGCUGAUCACUAUGAUCUUUAUCCUUGGGAUUCCAUGAUUACUAACAAUUUGUCGCUUAUGUGGUGAUCAUUUAUAUUUCAGGAUAUUAAUGUUUUGAAUGGGAUAGCAUGGGAUGCUGAGCAGGAGCGAAUUUUUGGUAGGUUUCAGUUUUCCAAUUUAUUAUAAAUGGUCGAUUUUACCUUUUUUAUUUGAGUGUAUCAUUUCCAUUCUGUUCAUUCAAGACUUGUUUCAUUUUUUGAAAGCAUGACACGCGAUGAAAAUAAGGUUCAUAUUGAGGUGAAAACAGGUAUACAAAAGUGGUAUGCAUUUGAGUACACGGUUCAAUAUACUAGCGCGAAAUCUCUAAAAUACUGAAUACAAUGUAAAGUUGUUUUUCAAUAAUUUUAUACAAAACUUUGAAAACAUAAGCAAUGUGAAAACAGAUGGUAUUGUUAUAAGCAAAAGGUUUCUAAAGUUUGUUCUUAAUCCAAUGCCUGUUUGAUUUGUGAAAAGAUGUUUAUGUAGGAAACGAUGAAGACAAUUUAUUUUUCACAAAGCAGUUUUUUUCAAACCAAACAGGCUUUGUUGUUGUCGUCAUCGUUGUUGUUGUUGCAGUUGCUUGUUGUUUUCAUUCUGCUUUUAAGCAUUUGUGUAGGAAAAGGCGAAGACAAUUUUUUUACACGUUAUUUUGUAGAAAUAUUAUAAAUUAGUAAAUAAAAACAGAAGUUUUUUCAAACCAAUCAGGCUUAGUUUUCUUUUCUACAUUAAGUCUUCGUGACUUUUGUUCUUGGUUUCAGUGACCGGAAAACUGUGGCCAGAGUUGUAUGAAAUCAAAGUUACACCCAUAAAGUCAACAAUUGAGGAAGGAAUGGUUGAGAAGCUUUGCUUGCCCAAGCCUUUCAAUUCUGCAUGAUUUAGAAGAAUGGGCAGCCAAAUUGAAACUAUGAAGAUGUAAUGACAUGAUCCUAUUCGAAACAAAGCCUCUGCUACGAUUUUAUAAUAUCAUUUUCCUGCAGCUGGUGAAUUAAUCUUUGUAUUAUAUAGCUAAGGUUGUCAGUAACUGGAAAUUGCAAGACUAAAUACAUUUGAGAUGUCAUGUGUGCUGAACAAGAAUGAAAAUGAAACCCCAAAAUAAUGUAGAGUUUUAAGUCACAUUGCAAAAAAUUUGUCCAGUUUUUUUUGUCAGACAAUUGUCUAAAAUUACAAAGUCAUUUUUUUUUUUUUUUUUGUGGUUUCUGGGGUUUGAAUCCUUGACCUUGCAUAUAUUAUGCGUUGUCCUUACUAACCAAGCUAAGUUCACGGGGACAGUCAUUUUAUAAUAUGUUUAGUCAUUUUAUAAUCUUAAUAUAUAUAAAUGUUAAACAGUUCUAAAAAGUUUGCCCUAAUCCUAAUCCCGCCUUUUUUGGUGGGUCUGAAUAAUUUUUAUGAAAAAAAGAGUUUACAAUGAAUUGAACCAGGUACUAUAUGCUUACACUUUACAACUAUAACUACUAUGCCACUUCUAUUUUUGUUGAAAUAUUGUUUCUUCCAAAAAUGAAAUACAUGACUAAAACAUUUUUGUUAAAGCCCCAACCGCCCUAACGGUUUCCUCUCUCAUAACAAUUAUUUUUUAUUAUUAGCGGUAUCUUUAUUGAUAUUAGUUCUUUUUCAUUAUUAUUAUAUUUUUUUGGUGUACGCUAACUACGUGUUACGAUAAAGUUGCAUAUUCAAAAUUGUAGAUAAUUUGACUAAUCGGGAUGAUAAUUUUUUCAUUAGAAACUUCACUGGAAUUUUGUCGGCCUCUUUGUUUCUCCUAUAUUAUAUUACAUGAAGUUUUUGUUCUUACUUUUUAUUUGCAAAAAUCACUACUGUAAACUAUAACAUUACUUUGUUUUGGCAAAGUAAUGACUUUGAUUCCAUAUUAAUUUUUGUUGAUUUCCAUAUUAAUUUUUUUUUUUUUAUGCAAACUAAAUGUUUUUAAUUUGCUUCUUUGAAAUUGUGCUCACUCUCAAUUGUCACUUAGUUUGAUUGUUUAUAAGUUUAAAUGUAACUCUACAAUUAAUAAUAUAGCCAAUUUGAUAUUUUAUAUAGGCUUAAGUACACUUUUGAUCCUCGUGUUUUGGCCUACUCACGAAAAUGAUCCUGCCAUUUUAAAAUAGAACAAAGCAGUCCCUAUACUAUCAUGCUUUUUGCAAUUUUGGUCAUAACCCUCAUUUUGUCCUCCAAAAAUGCUCAUGUGUCCAUUAUUUUAGUGAUGUGGCCAAAAUUGCUCCUAUGUGGCAAUUUCCACAUGGAAAAUGUCGUUAACAUUUUCAUCAAAUCAAUUUUUUAAUUGGGAAAAUGAAUAAAUAAUUAUUUUAAAUUACAAAAAAAUUAGUAAUAUAUCCAGAAUUAGUUUUACAAAUGUUCUCAUAAUCAUCACCAUUACCACAGCAACUCUAUCUUCUACAUCUCUAUCUUCAACCUCAAUAAAUUAAAGCCAAAUUUUAUCAACAAAAAAAUAUCAUCUUGAUCUCCAUUGAUAUGGGUUUAAAUAAAAAACUAAAGAAACUUCAUCUUCCAUCACUCUCUAAAAAAAUAUUAUCUUGAUCUCCAUUGAUAUGGGUUUAAACUAAAUGUAACUCUACAAUUAGUUUGUGCAUCAGUGAUGAUUUGAAUGUGUUGCUAAAAAAAAGGUUACUGGAAAAUAAUUGUGGUAGUGUUUUUGAUAAAACUUUAGAAGAAAAAGGGUUUUGAUCUGAGAAAACUACUACUGCCGUAAAAAAAGUGUUAGUGGGAAUUUUUAUCUUUCUUUCAAUUUAUUUUAUUUUAUUUUUUGAAAUGUUUAAGUUUGUUUUUUAAAUUAAAAAAUGUUGUUUUAAUGACAUAUGUUAAUGUCAUUUUCCCAGUUGGCCUUGCCACAUAGGUAUUUUUUUGCCAUAUCAGCGUUUUUGGAGGACAAAAUGGGGGGUAGGACGAAAAAUAUAACAAAAAUGAUAUUUGAAUGAUGAUUUUGUUCUAUUUUAAAAGGGUAGGACCAUUUUCGUGAGUAGACCAAAACACGAGGAUCAAAAGUGUAAUUAAACUUUUAUAUAUGAAACUCUACUAAUAUGUUUAAUGUAACAUAAAUAUUUAUUUUUCUAUUACACAUUUUACUAUUUAUUACUUUUUCUUAAAACUAAUUUAACUUCUCUUUCUUAUACCAUCAAUGAAGGAUAAUUUUAUAAUGUCACUCUUAAUAUUUUUUCCAUGCAAAAUUGAUCAUAUUUUUUUAAUUUGUGAGAUUGUUAAAAGGACUUAUAAUUUAAGACAGGUUUAUUAUUUCUAUACUUUUUAAGGUGCAAAAUUGUUUAUCAAAGUUUAAUGGUUUAGUAAUUCUCUUUUUUUAUUCUUAAUGUGACAAUAGGUAACAUGCCCGGUCCAUUCUAUGUUGUUAAAAACCAUGUUUUAUUUACAAUAGGUAAUGUGACUAGUCCAUUCAAUGGUUAAGAAGUAAUUCACAUAUUUUUCUGAGAUUUUUUCUUAACAUUAUUAUUAAUCAAGUUUCACUCUAAAAUAUAGAUUUAACGAGUAAAAGUAGAUAUUGGAAAAUAAAUAUUCCCCAAUUUCAGCGUCAUUUAGGGUGCGUUUGUUUCGGCUUUAAAAAAAAUAUAUUUUGAAUUAAAAAAAUCUAGAUAUUUUAGAGAUUUUUUUUGAAAAAUCUGAUGCUAUUUCUGUUUGUUUACCAUCAUAAAAAUCAUUUUGUUUAUGAUUUAAAACUCUUACACUUGAAUUCCUUGUAUUUAGAAAAAAAAUAGAUUUUGGAAAAGCUACUUAAAAUAGCUUGUCGUUUUGAGGCUAAAAAUGAUUUUUUUGCAAAAUGGAUUUUUUAUUAUGGGCUAAAACAAACACUGCAAAAAUAAAAAACUGAUUUUUUAGUUAAACCAUAGAACAAUGGAAAGCCACAUUUAUAUUACAUCAAGGAACGAAAGCAAACCAUGAUACACACAUAUUACAUUAACGAUUGAUGCAAACAAAGAAAAUAAACAUGAACAACAACCUUCUUUAUUUUAUUGUAGAUUCGUUCACAUUAUUAUUUUAGAAGUUCAUUGUGUUGUUCAUAAGCAAGAUGAUCCCUUCCGCGAAUGUUGAAAUCGAUUAAUUCUUCAGAGGUAUUAUGUCCUGAAGAGACUUCCAAACAUCAAGAGUUGACCUCACACCCCCCAUAAUGUAGUCAUCUGAUCUUCCUGGUGUAAAAGUGAUACGCACAAAGUUAUCUCCUUUGAAAAGGUAAGCUUCAUUCGGGAUAUGAGAAGCAAAAGCCGCAUCGAUUCCCUUUUCAAAGAUCGUGUCUCGGAAACAAGUAAACCCGCUGUUGAUGUCCCUGAUAAUUUGAACAAGACUGUUCGUGCCAUAGUCUAUACGAGCAUACUUGUCUCCUCUGAACAAGUAAACCUCUUUGUUCAAAGUUGACCUGAAUGCGGCGUCUAUUCCAUGUUCAAAACCCGUUCCUUCUAAAAAAGGAAACAUUUCCGCAAUUUUCAUAGAACCUGAGAUUAUUUUGUCUUUGUCAGUGUGUGGAGUAUAUUCUAUCUUAGCACAAAGACCUUGAUAAAAGACGAACGCCUCAUUGUCAUCGGUGUCAAAGGCACAAUCUAUUCCAUUGCUUCCAAAUUUGGUAUUAUCAAGCGAUGGAAACCCAUGGCGAACAAAAAUAGGUCCAUAUAAAAUCUUAUCGUUGCUGGUUCCGGGAGCAUAAUCCAAUAGCAAGAGCUUAUCAUUGAUGAAAAAGUAUGCUUCAUUUUUUCUAGAUGAACGAAAUACUGCAUUUAUG